CCAAGCCCUCUCAUUUUCACUCUCCAGUUCCAAAUCAAUGAAACCCUAGCCGCCUAAAUUUCCCCCCAUUGUCUCAACCGCGGAAAUCACCUCAUGGCGGCAGACAUUCUCCAAACCAUCCCAAAAUUUAAUCCUGCAACCAUCGUCCCCUCCCCUUUAAAAAUCCCUAAACCUUUUCAUUUAAACCUUGCUCAAUCUGGGCAUCAAAUCUCUGACAUGCAAAAUUUAAGUCCCAAGACUUCAAGUUUUCAAGGAUGAUUUAGCCUGAAACGGAUGUCAAUCGUUUGUUCUUAAAAAGAGUAUUAGUUUAACUUUUACUUUGUCUUAAAUUAGAGCAUCCCGGAGUUAGUAAGAGCAAAGUGUCAUCCAUUUUGAUAUAGGUAUCUCUAAUAUUCUUCUUCUCUUUCUACUUUUUUAAUUCUUCCCUUCUCUUUUUCAUUUGUCUUCUUCUGUUCUCUCGUUCUUCACUCUGCCUCUUUCUAUUUUCCCUUUUUUUAACCAAAAUGAAGAAUGUUCAGGUAGCCUUAACUUGUGGACUGCUAUGUUUUUUUCUCUCAUGAUUGGUCAGUAGGUUUUAGUUUUCCCUAAUCCUUAUAUAUGUCCUCAAAAUCAUUAGUUUGUCCGGUUAGGGUUUGUUAAUUUGGUCUAGUUUUGUUUAACUCUUUUAACCCGUAAAGUAAUUUUAGUUGAUUAUUAGUCUUAGUUACUUUUGGUUUAAUUAGUUUUACUUUUAACAGCUUGGUUUGAUUACUGCUUAAUUAGCCUAGGUUUAGUUUGUAUUCCAUCAUCUCGUAUUAUCAUCAUCAAAUUUGUUAGUCUAAAGAAUAUUUGUGUUGUUUCAUUUUAAAUUUGGCUCAUUGUGGGAGUUAGGAUUGGUUUGAGUUUUCAGAUGUUCACUUUCAACUUUGUUAUUUGUUCAUGAUUCGUCUUUUGCCUGUUAGUUCCUAUUUACCACAAUCUGUAAGUCAUUUAGAAUUUGUAGAGGUUAAUUGAAAAUAAAGAAACUUAAUGGUUUCUUAAGGGUAGAUAAGUAUGAAAUUGGAUAAAACCAUGUGGAAAGGUUCUAGAAUAGGGGUUUACUCGCUCUAUUUGGCCAGCACAAAAAUGCUGAAACCAAUUUGAGGCUGCCAACUAUCCCAAUUAUGUUAGAAAGAUGCUUUUAGGGGCUGUGUGAUGGAAUAAUUCCCUAAUUCUGCUUUACAACACAUGGCAAGGCUUAUAUAUAGAACCUUUCCCUAACUCCUUAGAUAGAUUUCAAACCCUAGAAAACACCCAAAAUGUUAAGCAUUGUUUGAUAAAAAAAAGCUGAAUUUAUUUCUUCUGAGUUUCUCGAGUAAAAAGAAAAAUACUCUGAAACUUUCUAUGGGAUUUCUGAAGUUCUGGGCUGAAUGUGGACUGAAUAGAAGUUGUGUAUUGCUCUGAUAUUUGUUGCCUUCUCACUCGUUUGUCUUGCUGAAAUCCUUACUCAAUUUUGCUUUGCUUUUUAUAUCUAGGUACUUCUUGGACUAUGAAUGACAUUUGAAGUGCAAGCAUCCCUUUCCUUUGAAAUAUGUAACUUAAAUGUGAAGUUUAUUGUUAAAAUGUUAGAAUUUUAGUUUUUAUUUACAUGUGUUGUGACUGUUGAAGUACAAACAUGCCUUUCCUUUGAAAUAUGUAACUGAAAUGUGAAGUUUAAUGUUAAAAUGUUAAAUUUUAAUUUUUAUUUACAUGUGUUCUUCCAAGUUCACCUAGAUUUUUUCUUGGUUUUAAUUUCUUCACCUUUUAUGUAAAUUGUUUUGGGGUCUGUUUGAUGGUCAAGCGCUUAGUGAGGAAAUUUCUUAUGUAAAUGUCUAAUUUAGUUCAUCUUUUUCAUGAAACAUUCAGAACAUCAUGAUGGUAGAGGGCUCUAGUAGUUUAUUUAUGUUAAAGGAUGUAGACUCACGUAUCAUGUAUGCUCGAAAAGGCAUUACUUGGCUGUUGUAUACCUCCAGUUUAAUUGUUUAAUUUUAGCAUUGCUAGAGUAAUUUUGUAUAUGUGAACUAGUAUGUUUGAUGAGUAGCUUUAAAAUCCAUGUCCAUACUAUUAUUACUUAUAGCAGGUCAUUAGAGUAAAGUUUAUAAUUUGUGUGUUCAUGUACUUUGAUGUUUAGAAUAUCUGUGUAGUUUUACCAUGGGUGAAUUAGAGGGAG
This 2167-nucleotide long non-coding RNA is filed under the name Nicotiana benthamiana. RNAcentral's name for it is "long non-coding RNA (NBEN_LNC010715)". The record is from RNAcentral. Lineage: Eukaryota; Viridiplantae; Streptophyta; Magnoliopsida; Solanales; Solanaceae.